Otolemur garnettii (small-eared galago) is the source of this 103-nucleotide small nucleolar RNA. NCBI's taxonomy places the organism in Eukaryota, Metazoa, Chordata, Mammalia, Primates, Galagidae. The record is from Ensembl.
AUCCUCUUGUAGUUCAUAAUUAUGAUAAUUGAGUUUUCAUGGGUUGAUGUGAAACAUGCCUGUCUCAAACCUUGUUGCGAUGUCAACACAUUUUUGUCUGAAG